This 1501-nucleotide ribosomal RNA is filed under the name uncultured bacterium. RNAcentral's name for it is "bacterial SSU rRNA". It matches the Rfam family "Bacterial small subunit ribosomal RNA". The record is from RNAcentral.
AGAGUUUGAUCCUGGCUCAGAUUGAACGCUGGCGGUAUGCUUAACACAUGCAAGUCGAACGGAAACGAUACUAGCUUGCUAGUAGGCGUCGAGUGGCGGACGGGUGAGUAACGCGUAGGAAUCUGCCUGAUAGUGGGGGAUAGCCCGAAGAAAUUCGGAUUAAUACCGCAUAAUCUAUUCGUAGUAAAGUGGGGGACUUUUAAGCCUCACGCUAUCAGAUGAGCCUGCGUAAGAUUAGCUAGUUGGUAGGGUAAAAGCCUACCAAGGCAACGAUCUUUAGCUGGUCUGAGAGGAUGAUCAGCCACAUCGGGACUGAGACACGGCCCGAACUCCUACGGGAGGCAGCAGUGGGGAAUAUUGGACAAUGGGGGCAACCCUGAUCCAGCAAUACCGCGUGUGUGAAGAAGGCCUGAGGGUUGUAAAGCACUUUCAAUUGUGAAGAAAAGUUAACGGUUAAUAACCGUUAGCCUUGACGUUAACUUUAGAAGAAGCACCGGCUAACUCCGUGCCAGCAGCCGCGGUAAUACGGAGGGUGCAAGCGUUAAUCGGAAUUACUGGGCGUAAAGCGUGCGUAGGCGGUUUAUUAAGUCAGAUGUGAAAGCCCCGGGCUUAACCUGGGAACUGCAUUUGAAACUGGUCAACUAGAGUAUGGUAGAGGAAAGUGGAAUUUCUGGUGUAGCGGUGAAAUGCGUAGAUAUCAGAAGGAACAUCAAUGGCGAAGGCAGCUUUCUGGACCAAUACUGACGCUGAGGUACGAAAGCGUGGGUAGCAAACAGGAUUAGAUACCCUGGUAGUCCACGCCGUAAACGAUGAUAACUAGCCGUUGGGGGGAUUUACCCUUUAGUGGCGAAGCUAACGCGUUAAGUUAUCCGCCUGGGGAGUACGGCCGCAAGGUUAAAACUCAAAGGAAUUGACGGGGACCCGCACAAGCGGUGGAGCAUGUGGUUUAAUUCGAUGCAACGCGAAGAACCUUACCUGGUCUUGACAUCCUGCGAACUUUCUAGAAAUAGAUUGGUGCCUUCGGGAACGCAGUGACAGGUGCUGCAUGGCUGUCGUCAGCUCGUGUCGUGAGAUGUUGGGUUAAGUCCCGUAACGAGCGCAACCCCUAUCCUUAUUUGCCAGCACGUCAUGGUGGGAACUAUAAGGAGACUGCCGGUGAUAAACCGGAGGAAGGCGGGGACGACGUCAAGUCAUCAUGGCCCUUACGACCAGGGCUACACACGUGCUACAAUGGGAAGGACAAAGAGCCGCGAAGCCGCGAGGUGUAGCUAAUCUCAGAAACCUUUUCGUAGUCCGGAUUGGAGUCUGCAACUCGACUCCAUGAAGUCGGAAUCGCUAGUAAUCGUAGAUCAGAAUGCUACGGUGAAUACGUUCCCGGGUCUUGUACACACCGCCCGUCAUACCAUGGGAGUGGGUUGCACCAGAAGUGGUUAGUCUAACUUAGUGAGGACGGUCACCACGGUGUGAUUCAUGACUGGGGUAAAGUCGUAACAAGGUAACC